UACGGGGGGAGCAAGCGUUGUUCGGAUUUACUGGGCGUAAAGGGCGCGUAGGCGGCCAGCACAAGUCAGUUGUGAAAUCUCCGAGCUUAACUCGGAAAGGUCAACUGAUACUGUGCGGCUAGAGUGCGGAAGGGGCAACUGGAAUUCUUGGUGUAGCGGUGAAAUUCGUAGAUAUCGGGAGGAACACCAGUGGCGAAGGCGGCGAUCUGGGAAGAUACUGACGCUGAGGUGCGAAAGCGUGGGGAGCAAACAGG
This 254-nucleotide ribosomal RNA is filed under the name uncultured bacterium. RNAcentral describes it as "partial 16S ribosomal RNA". It matches the Rfam family "Bacterial small subunit ribosomal RNA", at positions 524 to 776 of the family's 1533-position model. The record is from RNAcentral.